Molecule: ribosomal RNA, 497 nt
Filed under: uncultured bacterium
Lineage: Bacteria
Description: partial 16S ribosomal RNA
Rfam family: Bacterial small subunit ribosomal RNA
Source: RNAcentral
GAUGAACGCUGGCGGCGUGCCUAAUACAUGCAAGUAGAACGCUGAAGGAAGGAGCUUGCUCUUUCCGGAUGAGUUGCGAACGGGUGAGUAACGCGUAGGUAACCUGCCUGGUAGCGGGGGAUAACUAUUGGAAACGAUAGCUAAUACCGCAUAACAGUAGAUGUUGCAUGAUAUCUACUUAAAAGGUGCAAUUGCACCACUACCAGAUGGACCUGCGUUGUAUUAGCUAGUUGGUGAGGUAACGGCUCACCAAGGCGACGAUACAUAGCCGACCUGAGAGGGAGAUCGGCCACACUGGGACUGAGACACGGCCCAGGAUCCUACGGGAGGCAGCAGUAGGGAAUCUUCGGCAAUGGACGGAAGUCUGACCGAGCAACGCCGCGUGAGGGAAGAAGGUUUUCGGAUCGUAAAGCUCUGUUGUAAGAGAAGAACGAGUGUGAGAGUGGAAAGUUCACACUGUGACGGUAUCUUACCAGAAAGGGACGGCUAACUACGUG